CCUGGUUAGUCUCCCCCCGAAAGGGAAGAUGUGUGACGAAAGCAACUUCGCCAAUGGUUUUUGGAGGGGCCUGUUUGCCAGCCUUCUACCCUGGGACUGUGGGCCCUGUGAUAACCCAUGUUCAGAAGUACUGUUUCCGGCACUUGGACUUUUAACUGGAACAGAUUCAGGCAUGUGGUGUGGCGGUCAUCUUAAAUUGUCCAGCAGUGUUUUGUCGUUGAGUGUAUGGAACUGUUUUGGGCAUGGAACCAUGUGCACGGUGGGGCAAAAAUAAGACUUAACCCCUGAACUUAUCUGAGGUGAUUUUUGGAUAUGUUGUUCACCAAAAACGGGGAUGUGACUUUUGUGGGGAUAUGUUUUAUUUUGGGGUACUUUUUGGGGGUUUGUAAAAAUGUAUAUUUUUUUCUGCGUUUUUCUGAGUUAAUUGAGUUAGUCCAUUAUCUUUGUUAAUUAUAUCACAGGCAGAGGGGAGGGAUUGUGUACACUGUAUGGGAGUGUCUGAAUGUAAACCUCUGUUUUUAUUGGUUUGUAUGUUUUGUAUUCAGUGCCCAACUAGGUCCACCUGGGCGUCACCUUUGCUGUAAAACUUGUAUAAAAGACCAGUGUGUGCCAUUAAACUUUCUGUUCCUGUUUGACCCUCAACAUGUAGUCUUGUCUUGUCUGCUAUAAUCACACUGGGGAUAUCUAUACUUUGUAUACUCCCCUGGGCUCUAAUCACUUAGCUCUUUUAAGAGCUGUUCCUGUUAUGCUCUCCUGGAGGAGAGGUCUCCGCCACAUGGUCCUGGAGGACAGAGGCUGAUCCAGGGUGGAAAGAAGACGGCGAGAUUCCAGUUAAGCUACAGCGGUUGUGGAGUCUGCGGUGGUUGUGGUGUCCGGUGCGGUGCUUAUAGUCCUCGGCGUCAGCUAAGAAGCAUUCGUCAACAGAGGUGCCCAGUCAGGGUGCCAGGUGAUCCAUUACACUCAUUAUUCAGGUUUUAAUUGCCCUGUUGGCACUUUGCGGGUAAAAAAAAAGUUGCCAUGUAUUGCAGUUUGGGCACUCGGGCUCAAAAAGGGCUUAUGAAAUGUAGUGUAUAGGGAUACCAGUUUGUGUAGGUGAUGCAGUGUGUCUGUGUGUAGUGGAUGCAGUGUGUUUUUUGUGUAAGGGAUAGAAAGCAGUGUCUACUUGUGUGUAAGAGAUGCAUUGUGCUUCUGUGUGUGUGUAAGAGAAGCAGUGUGUGUUUGUGUGUGUGUGUGUGUGUAUGUGUGCAAGGGAUGCAUUGUCUUUGUGUGUAAUGGAUGCAUUGUAUGUUUCUCUGUGUGUAAGGGAAGCAUGGUGCAUUUCUUUGUGUGUAGGGAUGCAUUGUGUGUUUCUGUGUAUGUAUAGGAAAGCAUUGUGUGUGUAGUGUGAAAGAGAGGGUUUGUGGGGUAGGAUAGGGACUGAGUACUACCAGCCCCUUUGUGCUUCUCUUUCCCCCCUUCCUCAGCCUCUCUUCUUGUCCCUUACUGAUCUCCCCUCCUGUCCCUUAGAGCUCUCCCCUACCCCCUUUCCUGUAGUGCUCUCCCCUCCUGUCCCUUAGAGCUCUCCCCUCCUGUCUCCUAGUGCUCUCUCCUACCUCCCCCCAUCCCUUGAUGCUCCCCAUCCCUUAGUGCUCUCUCCUCCCCCUCCUCUCCCCCAGAGAGCUCUCCCCUGCCCCUUAGUGGUCUCUCCUCUCCCCCACCCCAUUAAUGGUCUCCCCUCUCCCCUCUCCCCCUUAGUGGUCUCUGCUUUUCUCUGCCCCCCCAGUGGUCUCUCCUUCUCCCCUCCCUUUACUUAGUGGUCUCUCCUCUCCCCCCGCCUCUUUAGUGGUCUCUUUUCUC
RNAcentral lists this long non-coding RNA (1836 nucleotides) under Pelobates cultripes (western spadefoot toad). The record is from RNAcentral. Lineage: Eukaryota; Metazoa; Chordata; Amphibia; Anura; Pelobatidae.